UUUGUCACAUUGCUCUAAGGCUUCAUAGGGAAGUCCGGUGUAAUUCCGGCGCGGUCCCGCCACUGUGAUGGCCACGAAAGCCGCAAGAAGCCACUGUCCCGAGUUGUGUCGAGGGGCGGGAAGGCGCGGCGAGUAGGUUAAAGCCUAAGCCAGGAGACCUGCCUUAGAGCCUCUGAACCG
This 180-nucleotide non-coding RNA is filed under the name Deltaproteobacteria bacterium. Lineage: Bacteria; Pseudomonadati; Myxococcota; Myxococcia. The record is from RNAcentral.